RNAcentral lists this long non-coding RNA (13799 nucleotides) under Citrus sinensis (sweet orange). RNAcentral's name for it is "long non-coding RNA (CSIN_LNC003349)". The record is from RNAcentral. Lineage: Eukaryota; Viridiplantae; Streptophyta; Magnoliopsida; Sapindales; Rutaceae.
GGCAAUUAAAAUGGAUUGCAUUGAUCAGCAUUAACAUUAACAAACUAGAGCCCUUAAUGUAAAGAGAGAAAUCAAACUAAGCCACUCAUAUCGAGGAGACCAGUCAGCCAUCUUGAUGAAGAACAAGCUCCAUAUUCAAAUCAUGUCUCGAUAAGGUAACAAGACAAAAACUCGCAUGAUACUUGCAUAAAUUAAAAAAAAAAAAAACACACUCUUCGCAUAUUAAAUUGAGAUCUUAGGUUAUUGGUAUGCCAGCUUCAGCUCCGCUUUCACAUUGCCAGACCAAAUGAAAAACUAAAUAUUGCCUGAAAUUAUAGUCACCGAAAGAGUACAGAAGUUUUGACGUAGUUCACAGUUUCUCAAAACUUUCAGGAACUCGGACACUCAGAUUCGAAGGAACCUGAGAUGAGAAUCUUUUCAUGGAACCUGAAGAGCUCACCGAGUAUUUUGCUUCUUCUUCAGAGGUGGGCCAAUACUCCAUGCCUCUCCGAUUUGUAAUCCAUAAGCAUGAUCCAGCUUUACUCUCGUCAGUAAUAAGCUCAAAAGCACCUAAAAGAAAACAUGUUUGGAAUAUGAGAUAAGAGUUUCAAAACAAAGGGGACAAACCUGGAGGGUUCUAAUGAAAUUGCAAGCCAGAUUUAUUCGUCCUUCUCAAGAAAAAGUAAUAAAAAGAGAAAGAAAGAGGUAUAUUCACUGUGCACCUGAAGCUGAUAUUUUUUAUACCCAGAAAGAGUAAUUUAAGUUCAUUUUUAAGGAGUCUUUCUUGUUCAGAUUUCAGACAAUUCAAGCCUUACGAUUUUCCACUGCAUAAGGAUGUUGUACUAGACACUUCUCAUAAAUUUGAAGAGUAAUACCUUUCACUACCGUAUCCAUAGGUACAAAGCCCCCCAUCAGAUCAAUUAAUUGGGAGCCCGCCUUUAAGGCCAACUCAGUUUCAACAAACUGCAAACAAGAAUUCACAGUGAAACUAGUUGAGACUGACCCGUUUUCAAAAUGCUGGCUAAAUAUCACACUAGAUGACAUCCGGAAUGCUUCAAAUGGAGCAAUACCUCAGGGCAAAGCACGUUGAUGCGAAUUCCCUUGCUUUUGUAGGGAGUAAGUGAUCUAGUAAAUAAAACAACACCACCUAUGGAAAAAAAAAAAAAAAAAAUUGUUAUGAGAAUCAAAUUCUACAUUAUUUCUUUCCUUUUAUAGCUGACAUCAAAUGAACAUAAGGUAAUCUAAAUGAGUGCCCGAAAUAAAAUCGGUGACACAAUGUGGUACAAACAUCAAACCUUUGGAAGCAGAGUAGAUUGGAUCUGUGUAAAAUGGAUAAAGUCCUGCAGAAGAUCCCAUAUUUAUAAUCACUCCAGGCUUUUUUGCAGCUUGCAUAAUUCCAAUCUGUUAUCAUAAAAUGUACUCAUAAUCACCACUCAUUCUCUUCCAAUUAGCAAAUUAAAAGUAUAAGCAUAAAUCCAUCUCUUGGAACUUUCAACAUCUUGGAGUUGUGAAGUACAUUCUUUUGUUCCGCAAACGUAUGAGGAGAGUGCAAGUUAUCAAACAUACGUCAUGCAGUUAGCUUCUACACAAUCAUGCACACCCAUAAAUGGGGAAAAAAAUCCUCUAAAAUUUGCUAAAUGGCAGCAGGCAGAGGAUUACCGGAAAAAGAAUCCACUUUUUACAUAAAAAAAUUUCACCCAAUAAUCACUUACCUUGUGAAUGGGCUAUAGUUAGAAGUUUUUUGAAUCGCAUGGAUAAUUUAUGUGGCCUUGGGACAUCUUAAGGCUGUACUAGACUCUGACAUUAACAGCUUAACAUCAAGAAGUAUUCAACAGAUAUCAACCUCAUCAACAAUGCCAAACAAACCAUGGCAAUAAGUCGAGCAAGAGCAACCAAGUAUGAGAGUAAACCAUGAAGGCAAGUCAAAUUUAAAGCAUACCGCUUUCUGAGUGCAAUCAAUAACUGCAACCAAGUUCACAUCAAGAGUGAAUCUCCAUGAACGUGUGCCAUCAGUUUGAUCCUCGUGGAAUGGAAUGGGAUUACUUAUGCCAGCACUGUUGAUACAUAUAUCCAAUCCUCCAUAUGUAGCUACGUGCUUCUCAAAAGCAGCAGCUGUAUCCCCUGGUCAUCGAAUAUGAUGAAUGCACAUAACUCUCUUAAAACAUAAGUUGCACAUUGAGGAGAACAAGAAGAAAACAUGCCCAGAAAUUGAUGCUCUUUACUGUCAAGAAGUGAGACGCAAUUCUGUUUGAUGGAUUACUUGUAAAAUCAUCAAGUAACAAUCCAAGAAAUGAUUGGAUAUGCAAAUUCAUGCUGAGAAGUCAAAAUACAUAAAAACCAAUCGUCUACAAAGCAACGUCAUACAAAGUUAAAAAAAAAAAAUAUUCUGUUUCCCAUUAGAACCUCAACAUAAUACAACGGAUAAGUAAAUAACUAAAAAGUGUAAUAUAAAAAUCGUCAAAAUUCAGUUUUUGAAAUCCUCUCUUUCACAGCCUCAGAAAAGCCAAUGCAAACUCUGAACCAGGAAAAGUGAAAAGCGACAAAAUGAGAACAGUCCGGUUAUGACACGUAAGUAAAUAUAGGCAAACUUACUUGUGUUGGUCACAUCACAUCUUAUAAACAUAGCAGAUGGAAAUCCUAAGUUUGAAUGAAACUUGGCAUUCUCUUUUUCAACAAGCGCUGCAACUUCCUUUCCCUUUUCUUCAGAGAGAUCAACAACUGUCACAAAGACUCCCUUCCCUGCAAGAGCUAGGCUCAAAGCUCUACCUGCAAAAUAUACACCAGCAUUGGCAACAUCCGGAAAUUAUAUACCACAACAAUUCAAAUUUCAGUAACUUCCCUUGAAUAUGAAUAAAAUCAUUUUAGCCUAUCUUCGGAAGCCUCCGAUUGAUGAGAGUAACUACUAACUACUUAUAGGAUAUAUCGUAUACAAGAAAAAUAAGCAUAUACUGGAUUAGUAAUGAUUAGAAGGUCCCAAAAACACAAAGAAUCUAAAUUUCAAUAAGAAACAACCAAAGACACAACACAACCUAUCAAGUGCCAAACAAAACACAAUCAAUACACAAACACGAACCCAGUAAAGGAAUCAAAAUAGGGUACUUAAACGCAAGAAAAAGAAAAUUAAAAGCCUUCAAUUUUUUACCAAUCCCAGAUGCACCGCCGGUGACAAAAGCUGAUAAGCCCGGUUUGAGCUCCAUUUUAUGAACAAACAGAGAGGCAAAGGGAAGCGAUUAAACUACUCGGUUAAGAGUUUUCUUAUGUGAUCGGGCUUUAACUGCCCCUUUUCCCGGGUAUUUAUUUGAACGUACUGAAAUUUGUUGUUGCUCUGAAUUGCCAAAUGAAGGGUCGAUGUUAUAUAGACGGCUUCCUAUAGGUCUCUCCAGCCCACAAUUUGCGGCGCACUGGGGUCUCCUCAUUUUCCGUAAUUGUUUGUUUAGACGUGCAAAUAAUUUGAUGAUUCUUUCCUUGAACGUCAGAGCCAGACAGGGACAAAUACGUUUCAUCAUCUAACCUCUAACCAUUAACCAAUAUCUGCUAAACAAAUACCAGUAGAUUACGCAAGAAAUAUUAUUAACACGAGAACAAUAAGAAGAUAUUAGAUUACGUACUAAACAAUCAGCUUUAGGAAAGUAUUGAUAAUAUACAUGCACUCAAUACAAUUAUUAGACGUAAAAAUGCCACGUGCCGCCCGGUUAAUAAUUCGAUUUUUCUAAAUUUUAUUGGGAUAAAUAUCUCUCCUGCAUUCAUGGUAAUAGAUUUGGAUCAUGAUUCUCUCUUAAUCUGAUCUCCUCCUGAACAAACAUAUAUGGUGAUUGGUUGUUAAUAAAAUAAAAAAAUAAAAAAGUUAAAUCUUAUCCAUAUACUAUCACUUAAAAACACAUGACACAAAAUCUUAAAAAACUCAUGAGAGCUCAGAUAAGGAGAGGAUCUUUUUCUAAUAAAUUUUCGAACCCACCCUCGAUAGAUCAUCGCUUGGCUGAAAUAUGUACUACUCAUAGUACAUUUCAAAUUAUAUGUACUUGUAGAUGGUAACAAUUUCAAAAAAUAAUAUCAGCAAUGUAAUUAUUUGUAACGUGACCUUAGUAGUACUUAUUUGACCUUAUUGGAGUUAUCAGUAUUUUUGGCUAGACAUGUUUUGCUGUAUUAUCAAAACAUGUGCCGUAUAAGCUGUAUUGCUGACUUUUAAAACAAAAAAAUUAUCUAAGCAAUUAAAACGUUUUCAAUUUAUUUAUUAUUAUUUUAUAAAAUAAUAAAUUUGAUUGCUAAAAAUGUUGGCCACAACCGACCAACGCAAGCCGCUAUUAGCAAUCUUAUAGUGGUAUAUUGCAUUAAGUUAUAUUGCUUUAGCAUUAUAUUAUAUUAACAUUUUAUAAUAUUUGUUGUUAUAUUGUAUAGUAUUAUAUUAUAAUAAUUUUCAAUAUUAUUAUUUGUAAUAUAGAAUACUUAAAAAAUCAGUUUAAACAUAUUCCACGUACUGGCAAUAAUCAACAAAGUUUCAGAAUAGAGUUAUUAAUUAAUUUAGGAUAACAUUUAGAAAUUAACUUAGAAAAGGUAAAAGAGCUAGUACUAGGAGUAGAAAUUUUUUUUGAAACUAGCAAUAUUAAUACAUUAAGAAGAAAUUUAAAUUAUAUUAAAAAAUUAUUAGCUAAUUUUAAUAAGCAUAUUAGCAUAUUCCCUAGCAAGAAAUAAUAGAAUUAAUAUAGUUAUUAGACAUAAAAACAUCUAACCGAGUAGAAUUAGAAAUUAAAAAUUUUGUCGAAAGCUUAAAAGUUGCAAUAGAAAAUAUUAAAUGUACAGAAAGAGAAUUACAAAUACAACUAGACUCAAUAAAACUAAUAGCAAGUGAAUGAGUUUAGAAAAUCAAUUAAUAGAAAUAUUAGCAUAAUUGAAAAAAAAUACACCAAAUAUUAACCCAAUAGGCUAUUGUUAUAGAGAAUUUAGUCAAUAAAGUAAUAAUAUAUAGCGAGCUCAAGCAAAUACUAUUAUUAAAUUAUUAGUCAGAGUUUGUAAUAAGUUAGAAGACUUAGAAAAAUAAACUUAUUAAAUUAGAAAGUGGCUUUUAAACCUUUAUAAAAAGUAAAGAAACAAUAUCACAUUUAGUGAAGUAAUUAUUUGAUUUAAAACUAAAAGGACAAAAGAAAUUAAUUAUUUUGCUACAUUAUUACUAGUAAUAGAAUAUGUUAUGGGUAGAAUUAGUGAAUACUGUGAAAGAAGAAAAAAAAAGAUGUUUGGGUGGUUAAAACGCUACCACAUAUGUGUGUGUGUGUGUGUGCGCGCGCUCGACAUUGUAGCCUGCUCGUGAUCAAAGCAAUGUUCGAGGAGAUUCGUAAUAGUCAGCUACUUGUAUGCAUAAGGACUGCCAGGGAAAUCGCGAGGAGAAGCCAAGAUCAGGUCUUCACACAGACCUGGUCAGAGGUUGACCAUCGAGUUGUCUAGGAAAACUAAGUAUGAUGCCCACUCCUAGACGGUUACCGAAACAACUUCUCGAUCGCCUUAUAACUGGUGCACGUGCCCAUAACCCAACUAACACGCUCAACCAAUCCACGAGCAUCCACGAACUGAUAGUGAAGCAAUAGAUUCGGCUGCUUAUAAACGCAUUGCAAAUGGAAAUCAAAGGCGACACUUUUGGAACAAAGGGGGAAACUCUGUCUCUUUAAGUCCAGAACUUUUCUCUUAAAUUAUUUAUUCUUGUGGGCAUUAUAAUCUUUACUUCAAAUAGCUACUAUUAAGCCACAGACAUUUGUGACGCAAGUUUUUCUAAAAAAACAUCCGGCGCCCCCUGAUUGUUUAUUAUGAUUGUAGGUGUGGAGAGCACGUGGUCAUCAAAAUCUGUUCCACUGAAACAACUGCAAGCAGUUCUGUGCCCCAUCAAAAUAAAUUCAGUUAUUGACUUGACAAUCUGGUAGCUAUAACGAGCUCGACUAGAUUUCUGCAUCAACAAAAGACAUCAAAUAAAAUUGUAAUUUAGGAAAAUGUAUAUAGAUAUGUCAAAAGUACCGACUUUAAGAUGUAAUUAUCCUAGCUAUUCUAGUUGUAAGAAAAAUAUAAAAAAUGAUAUAAGCACUAUAAACAACCAUACAUGUAUAAUAAUAGAAAAUUCUAUAGGAAAAAAUUCUUUAAAUAUAAUAGCAGAAAAUCUAAAAGGUAAGCACUUAAAAAUGGUAAAAGAAUCUAUAAACGGAAUAAAACUUGUAAAUGUUUUUUAUGUGGUAAAUAAUGACAUAUUAAACCACACUGUCCUAAAAAUAAAAAAGUGAUCAAUCAAUUAAAAAUAUAUAGUUAUAUAUAAUAUAGAAGAACAAAUUUUAGUCAUAGAGAAAAUAUUUAAUAUAGAUAAAUAAUCAAAUAAUGAUAGCAUAUGUAUUCUUAGUAGUAAAUCAGAAGCUAAUUAUAAUUCAGUUUUAAAUUCAAACUCAGAGGUAGAAUUAGAUUUAGAAAUUAAUGUCUUAGGAACUUAUACAUAAGUUUUUGGUAAAAACUGUAUAGUCUGUAAUAAAAAAUUUAAAUUAGGAUAUAGAGAUAUAAGAAACAGAUAAAUUCUUUUGCAAUAGUUGUAAAGAUAAACAACAAGAUGAUAAAACAAUAGAAAUAAAUGGAGUAGGAAGUGAAUUAAUAUAUAUAGAUGUAGAAUUAUUAUUUAAAAAGGAAAUAAUUUAUACUAAAGCAAUGAUAGACACUAGAGCAAACAAAUGUAUUAUACAUGAUAGCUUAGUCCCUGAAGAAAAUAGGAAUAAGUUAGAAAUCCAGUAAAUAUUAUUAGACAAUUUAAUGGUGAAUUAAUGCAAAUAACAGAAUGUAUAAAUAAUAUACUUAUUAGAAUAAAUGGAGAAACACAUGGUAUUACCAUAAACAUUUAUUUCUAACCCGAAACUAGGAUAUAAAGUUAUUUUAAGAUUAAAUUUUAUAUUAGAAAAUAAUGAUAGUAUAUUAAUAACUCCAAAUGGAGUUAAUUUCUUUAAAAAAUCAACAUUCAUUCAAUCUAAAUAUGAAACACACAUCUUCCCAUAUGAAAAGAAUACAUUAAUGCUAGAAAAAGAAGUAGAUAUAUAAUUCUUUAAUUCGUUAUUAGAGGAAGAAAAAGAUAGUAAGGUAGAAAGUAUUGAAGAGCUGGAAGACUAUAAUAAGUUAGAAUUAGAACGUGACAUGCACAUGAAUAAUAAGUUUUCCAUUAAUGAAAUAGAAAUGCUAGAUGAUGAAGACAUAGACAUGUACUUACAAGAUAUUAUGAGUAUAGAAAAACAAGUUGAAUGUUAUGCGAUAAAUGAUCUAAGAUAUAAAGAAACAAGUAGAUGAAUUAGAAAAAAUUAGAUAAUAGGCAACAAACCAAAUAGAAAAGAUAAUAAAGAGAUUUAUAGAUUAGAAAUAAUUAAUUCAAACAUAUCAAUAAAAGCACAAGAUUUAGCCUAUAGUUUAGAAGAUACAAAUGAGUUCAAAAUGUAUAUAAAUAAAUUAUAGAAUUAAAAGUAAUAAGAAAUAGUACAAGUAGACAUAGAAGUCCAGCAUUAAUAGUAAAUAAGCAUAGUGAGCAAAAAAGAGGUAAGAGUAUAAUUGUAAUUAACUAUAAAAGAUUAAACAAUAAUAAUUUAGACAAUAGUUAUAAAAAAAACCCAAUAAAGAUGAGCUAGUAAAUUGUAUACAGAAUACUGGAUACUUUUCUAAAUUUGAUUGUAAAAGUGGUUUUUGGCAAAUAUGACCUCAUAAGAAUCUAUUCAAUGGAUAGCUUUCAGUUGUUCAAAAGAACAUUUCAAAUAGUUAGUCAUGCCAUUCAAAUUAAAAAAUGCACUACAAGUUUUUCAAAUUUAAAUGGAUAAAAUAUUAAAACCAUUUUCAAAAUUUUGUAUAGUUUAUAUAGAUUAUAUUAUUGUCUUUGAUCAUAAUAAAUUUAUGAAUAUAACUCACUUACAUAACAUUUUAGAUAUUUUAGAUUAUUUUAAGAAUAACAAUAUAGUAAUUUCUAAAAAGAAAAUUGAAUUAUUAAAACAAAAAAAAUUAGGACUAACAAUAGACAGAAGAACUAUAGAAUUACAACCACACAUAGUUAGUAAAAUAUUAGAAUUUUCGAAUAAAAGAGAAGAUACUAAAAAAAUACAAAAAUUCUUAGGAUUAUUAAAUUAUAGUAGAAAAUUUAUAACAAAUAUCCGUACAUUAAUAAAACCCUUAACCCUUACAUAAUAAGUUAAGUAAAAAUGGACAUAAAUAUUUUAAUAUUGAAGAUAUAAAAUUAAUAAAAAAACUUAAAAGAAUAUUUAGAAAUCUUAAGCUAUUAGCAUUAUCUAUAGACAAUUAUUAUAAAAUUAUACAAAUUGAUGCAAGUAGUUUAGGAUGAGAAAGAAUAUUAAUAACAAAGCCUAAUAAAGAUAGUCUAAAAGAAAAAGAAGAAAUAACAAUGUAUACAAGUGGAAAAUUCAUAAAAAUAAAAAGUAGAAAAUCAAGUACAUAACCAGAAAUUUUAGGAAUAAUAAGUUCUUUAAAUUCAUUUAAUUUGUAUAUAAAAAAUGAUAUAUUUAUAAUACGAAUAGGUUGUAAUAAUAUUAUUGAAUUUUAUAAAAAAGUACAAAAGAAAAAUUUUGAGAAGAAGAAUUCUUUUAUUAAUAAAAGAUGAACGUAUUUUUUAGACGUAAUAACAUAUAGAGGAUAUAAAGGAAAUUUUGAACACAUAAUAGGUAAAAAUAAUACUUUAGUAAUAUACUUUCGAGACUAAUUAUUCAAUGAUUAUUUUACAGGAAUGGUGUGAUAUAUGAAUUUCGGUCCAGUAACACUUAGACAGUUCCUUUCAAGAACAAGUUUGAAUUUUAUAAGGACUAAUUAUCAAACAGUCGAUAAUACAUCUUAGAUAAUUUGUGGAGUUGUAAUAACUCACAAGAUAAAUUAAAAGUAGUCAAUGCACUCAUGAAUUAUUUUAGACAUAUUAAUGAGCAUAUAGAAAGCAAUCAUUUUGCAUUUUUUAUAUUAGUUAGAGGUAGACAAUCAGGCAUUUAUAGCAAAUAGAGAGAGAUAAUUUAUCUAAUAGUUAAUUAUCUAAAUCCAUAUUGUAGAGGUUUUUAUACAUUUCAUAAAGCAAUAGAAUUUGCUAGACAAAAGAUAGGACUAAAUUAUCAUAUUAGCAAUUUAAUUAACCCUUUAAACAAUGUAUCAAUAUCAUUAGCCAGACAAUGAAUUAACUCUUUAAUCAAUGCAUCAUCAUCAACCAUACAAUUUUGUAACUAUUGUGAAGUCAUGACACGCACCAUUAGAAAGCUCAAUGAAGUAAAUGCAUAUAGACAGAAGAUAAUUGCAUUAGAAAUUGCUGAUGUAGAACUAUUUAGAGAGAAUAUUUUAUUACAAAAUAAAUAUCAUAUUUUACAUAACCAAAAGACCAAAAAAAAACUGAAAACAUUUAAUCAUUACUUUCUACUUGAAGAAGCUUUUAACCAUAUCCUAGUGAAGUAAUUUUUAAGAAUCCAAAAAUUUCUCCCCUCAUUAGUGAUGGUAUAGACAUUGUAAAAGAAAAAAUAUUUUUAACCAUAGAAGAAAUCUUAUAGCAGGAUUUUAUUUCAAUAGCCAAUCAAUUAUUUUAAAAUCAAUUAAAUUUCUUCACUGAGUUAGGACCUAGAUGAUCAGAACUAAGAAAUAUUACCCUCCCAGACAUGAUUUUCCUACAAUUUCCUUUGAUUAUUCUUUAGUCAAAAUCGUAAACAAUUAAAAUUUAUUAUUUAUAAGACAGUCACUACCAUACUAAACAUUAUAUUACAACUUAAUAUAAUGCAUCCUAAUGCUAUACAACAUAGUGCAAUACAACUAAUAUGAUGUGAUAUAAUGCAAUGUGUCAAACGUCCUCCAAAUGAAUACACUUAGUCUGAGGUACGGGGAUUGAGCCAUUGAGGUUAUGCAAGGUGAAAGAAAUAAGAAAUAAGAACUUAAAUAAACUUUAAUUUAUGCGGAUUGAUUCAACUUUUCAUGUAAUUAAAUAUUCCAUUGGAGUUGGAUUAGGGAUAUUAUUUUACUACCUAAUAUAUUUUGACAUAACAUUUCACCAUUAAAGUUUUCUGACAAUUACUUUUUCUUAUUUAAUGUUUUAGUUUUUAUUAUUUUACUACCGAACCAUUAAAAUUAAUAAAAUUCUUAACGUGAAAUAUAAUAAAAGACUAUUUUACCCCCAAAUUACGUAAAUAUAAUUUAACAUAAAUUAAAAAAUAUAAAAUUAAUUAUAUACAAAAAUAAUAUUUUCACUAAUUAAUUAUUUAAUUAUAUAAAAUAACUAAUUGAUAAAAUUAUAAAUAUCAUACCUUAUGAAAUUCCUAAAACAUUAUAUAUAUUGAAAACUCAAGGCCACAGCCCACAGCCAAUGGCUACGGACGUUGCUUUAAGUUCUUUUAUUCGAAGGAUUGGUAAACCACGUACCGCUAUCAUUAUAAUAAUGGGAACAAGCGAGAUUAGGUGUAAUUUUCAUUUGUUUUCGUCCUUAUCAUGACAUAGCAUCAUCUAUUCAUUUUACGUGUUAGCUUAUUACUCUUGUUUGUUUUAAGUUAAAUAAAAUAUUAAUCCCUUUUUUGACAUUUGAGGCGAGUUAUAUAAAUAACAAUCCGUUCUUGACAUUUGAAGCAUACUUGUACCAAGAGCAAAGCUUAAACAUUUCAAUUUUUGGCUUUUUUAUUUUGUUUUUUAUUUGUUAGGUUUUAUAAUCUCAAAAUCAAGUGUAUGUUUGGCAUACAGUGUCACAUAGUAUUAAUUUGUGGGCUCACAUUAGUUGAAAUAAUUCCGUAUUUGACAAUUCAAAUGGAUUGCAUUGAAAUGAAUGUUGUUUCUAAGCAUGAAAAGUAUCUGGGACUUCCAUCUAUGAUUGAGAGGAGAAAUAUUAGUUUCUUCAACGACAUAAAGUUGAGUGCUGAAUAAGCUGUCAAGUUGGCAAAAUAAGUGUUUCUCGAGUGGGGGAAAAGAAAUCCUCAUCAAAGCUGUGGCACAAGCUGUGCCGGCUUAUGCGAUAAGCAUUUUUAGAAUUCCUCAAGGGCUUUGUGACGAUAUACAAAAGGCAGCAGCAAGGUUUUGGUGGGGAUCAUCCGAAACUUAUAAAAGUAUUUAUUGGGUAAGGUGGGAAAGGUUGUGCCGGGCUAAGAUCAGGGGUGGAUUGGGAUUUAGAGAUCUUUCAAGUUUCAAUCAGGCUCUUGUUGCUAAUCAGGGGUGGAGAAUUCUACAUAACCCUGAUUCUUUUAUGACAAAAGUAUUAAAAGCCAAGUACUCCAAACAUACUGACUUUAUGGAGGCAAAAUUGGGGUCAAAUCCCCCCUUUGUAUGGAGAAGGAUAUUAUGGGGAGACAAGUGCUACACCAAGGCCUAAGAUGGAGAAUUGGUAAUGGAAGCCGUGUUUCAGUGUCCAACAGUAAUUGGAUUCUGAGAUAUGAACUUUCAAGCUAUGUCCCUCAUCAAAAUUUAACGGAAGGGGCUGUUGUUGCUGAUUUUAUUGAUGACAAAAAUCAGUGGAAGGAAGAGAAGAUUGAGCAAUGUUUUACCAAAGAGGUUGCACAGAAGAUUUUGAAAAUCCCUCUCCCAAGAACCCCUCAGGAAGACAUAUUGAUUUGGCAGUUCGAUAAGCAUGGCUGUUACUCAGUAAGGAGUUGAUAUCAGGUGGCACUAAAGAUGAAGUUCCCAGAUAAUCCGGAGUGCUCUGACAGCUCAAAAACUCAGUGGAAGGUAAUUUGUUCAAAUGAGAUUUCGGAAAAAAUUAAAAUUUUUAUGUGGAGGGCUGCUCAAAAUUUACUGCCAACAGCUAGCAAUCUAUGGAGGAAAAAUGUGGUGAGGGAUCCAGCCUGCCAAAGAUGUCAUUGUAAAAGUGAGAGUGUUCUUCAUGUCUUAAUAGAGUGCGAGGCUGCUCGCAAAGUCUGGAAAUUGACAGAUUUUUACGAGGAUGUGAAGUUGAUGGCUCAGCAAGAUAUAUUGAGUAUGCUCCAAGGUUUAGCAUCGAGAAGGAAGAAGAAAGAGUUGGAACAGAUUAUUGCCGUAUGUUGGGCCAUUUGGUAUGCGAGGAACCGCUUUAUAUAUGAAGGAAAGCAGGAAGAGCCAAAACUGACAGCAGCAAGAGCAUCAGCUAUUGUGGAGUCAUACAGGAGAAUAAAAAUCCAAAAUGGUCCAGCUCGAUCAAUCCAUCAUCGAAACAGCCAGCAAAUUUGGAAACCUCCUCCAGAUGGGAAGUACAAAGUCAAUGUAGAUGCUGCAAUUCAGAUGUCAGGUCUGAAGGCAGGGUUGGGGGUUGUGAUUGGGAACUCAAAUGGAAAAAUCAUUGCCGCAGCUGUCAAGAGAGUCAGCUAUAAGGGGACAGUGGCGUGCAUGGAGGCUGAAGCAAUUCUUUUUGGCAUUCAAGUUGCCCAACAAGCAGAAUGUUUGCCCAUGAUCAUUGAAUCGGACUCAACAGAAGUGGUGGAGCUAGUUUUGAACAGGAAGGGUAGCAUGACAGAAAUUUCUUGGACAGUUGAAGAAAUUAAACAAAGGCUGAUGAAUCACAAUACAUCUUCAAUCCAGUUUGCUCCAAGGAAGUGUAAUGCCAUUGCCCAUUCUAUAGUUAAAGUGGCUUUUGAUUUUGAGAACCCUGUUAUUUGGCUGGAAGAGUUUCCAGUUCAGAUCAUGCUGUUAUUUUCAAAGUUCAUUAAUUAGAAAGCUUUACUUUCUCAUUAAAAAAAACAAUAAAUAACCAGAGCCCUUGAUGUAAAGAGAGAAAUCAAACUAAGCCACUCAUAUACAGGAGACCAGUCAGCCAUCUUGAUGAAGAACAAGCUCCAUAUUCAAAUCAUGUCUCGAUAAGGUAACAAGACAAAAACUCGAAUGAUACUUGCAUAAAUUAAAUAAAUAAAUAAAACACACACACAUACACACACUCUUCGCAUAUUAUAUUCAGAUCUUAGGUUAUUGGUAUGCCAGCUUCAGAUCACUCUCCACUUUCACAUUGCCAGACCAAAUGAAAAACUAAAUAUUGCCUGAAAUUAUAGUCAAAUUUCCAUCACCAGCCACCGAAAGAGUACAGAAGUUUGACGUAGCUCACAAUUUCUCAAAACUUUCAGGAGCUCGGACAUUCAGAUUCGACGGAACCUAAGAUGAGAAUCUUUUCAUGGAACCUGAAGAACGCACCGAGUAUUUUGCUUCUUCUUCAGAGGUGGGCCAAUACUCCAUGCCUCUGCGAUUUGUAAUCCAUAAGCAUGAUCCAGCUUUGCUUUCGUCAGUAAUAAGCUCAAAAGCACCUAAAGAAAUUUGGAAUAUCAGAUAAUAGUUUCAAAACAAAGGGGCAGGGCAAGGCCAAAAGGUUAAACGACCAUUUGAUCUCAUGUGCUCAUCCCCCCCCUCCCCCCCUCAAAAUGUAUUUUACUAAAAUAUCGUUGGCAGCAAUUGUUUUCUUAUUGUUAAUAAACAAUGCAUCUGAAUAACUGUAUCUGGCAUUCCACUGCACAUCCAAAUAAGUAUAAAGGGCAUAGAGUUGACAAACCUGCAGGGUUCUAAUGAAAUUGCAACCCAGAUUUAUUUGUUCUUCUUCUCAAGAAAAAGUAAUAAAAAGAGAAAGAAAGAGGUAUAUUCACUGUGCAGCUAAAGCUGAGAUAUUUUUUAUACCCAGCAGGAGUAAUUUAAGUUCAUUUUUAAUGAGUCUUUGUUGUUCAGAUUUCAGACAAUUCAAGCCUUACGAUUUUCCACUGCAUAAGGAUGUGGCGCUAGAGACUUCUCAUAGAUUUCGGGAAUAGCAAAGUAACUCAAAACUAUUAGUGCGGCAUCAGAUUUAAACAUUUGAAGAGUAAUACCUUUCACUACCGUAUCCAUAGGUACAAAGCCCCCCAUCAGAUCAAUUAAUUUGGAGCCCGCCUUUA